Molecule: transfer RNA, 74 nt
Filed under: Anaerolineae bacterium
Lineage: Bacteria; Bacillati; Chloroflexota; Anaerolineae
Description: tRNA-Asn
Rfam family: tRNA
About the family: Transfer RNA (tRNA) molecules are approximately 80 nucleotides in length.
Source: RNAcentral
GCCGCGGUAGCUCAGUCUGGUGGAGCGCUCGGCUGUUAACCGAGGGGUCACCGGUUCGAAUCCGGUCCGCGGCG